UAGAACUGUCAUUAUUGUUGUUUUUCAACCGUAAUGAACGGUUCAAUUUCAACCAUUUUAGGAGUUCUAAUGAACAAGUUGAAAAAUGGUUAAAUUUCAACCGCAAAAUAUAUGGAAAAAUAGCAGCCAUCUUUGCAAGAGAAUUUGUUUGUUUUUUUUUAUAGCUGUCGUGACGGGACUUCCGUCCGGGAUUCAGCAGGCAGUUAUCAAUCAGUGGUUUCAGUUCAUUUAGUUACUUAACGUAUAAGAUGAAGGUUACCCUAUAAUACAAUUAACGCUUGAUCGGAAGAUUCGGUGAGCUAUAGGCCAACUUUAUUACAAGAAGGAAACAGGAGAUUUGGCUGAAUUAUCUACAGGAAAAGACAACAUUGCUAACGAGAAAGGAACGCAUUUGCAAUUGCAAUUAGAAAAAUAUUUAACCUCAUCAGAACGGCACGGACAAAUUUUUCAGAGACUGUCGGUAGUGGCAAACAUCUGCUAGGAACCAUUCUGCUUGGCCACAUGAUAAAGCAUCUUUCAAGGGUGAUGAUCUGAAAAUCACUUCCCUUCGCUCAUCGAGUGCGAGUCCGAUUCGAAAAGCUGCGAAAGGAAACAUGGUAGGAGCGGAUACUAGAUCAGGUGCUGUGCAGUCACCGGGGAGGAAACAGCAGCACUUGCAGAAUUGCAACAAAAUAGUGUAUCUUCAUUGUCAGCAUCGAACACUGAAGAUUUCGAUGAAUGCGACCAGAACAAGUUAUCCAUAAAUAUUUAUAGAUUUUAAUUAUAUCCAAACGUAUUUUUAAAUAAAAGCUCUAUUGGC
Uranotaenia lowii is the source of this 799-nucleotide long non-coding RNA. RefSeq lists it as uncharacterized. The record is from RefSeq and is a predicted model, not a curated record. The transcript is spliced from 3 exons. Lineage: Eukaryota; Metazoa; Arthropoda; Insecta; Diptera; Culicidae.